AUGGCUCUGGUAGAAUCAGAGGAUGAUCUGGU
RNAcentral lists this non-coding RNA (32 nucleotides) under Homo sapiens (human). The record is from RNAcentral. Lineage: Eukaryota; Metazoa; Chordata; Mammalia; Primates; Hominidae.